RNAcentral lists this ribosomal RNA (824 nucleotides) under uncultured bacterium. Its description in RNAcentral is "bacterial SSU rRNA". It matches the Rfam family "Bacterial small subunit ribosomal RNA", at positions 95 to 933 of the family's 1533-position model. The record is from RNAcentral.
GCGGCGAACGGGUGAGGAACACGUGAAGAAUCUGCCUUCAACUCUGGGAUAACUCCGGGAAACCGGGGCUAAUACCGAAUAUGAGCCUUGAUCGCAUGAUCGGGGCUGGAAAGUUUUUCGGUUGAAGAUGACUUCGCGGCCUAUCAGCUUGUUGGUGAGGUAAUGGCUCACCAAGGCGACGACGGGUAGCCGGCCUGAGAGGGCGACCGGCCACACUGGGACUGAGACACGGCCCAGACUCCUACGGGAGGCAGCAGUGGGGAAUAUUGGGCAAUGGAGGAAACUCUGACCCAGCGACGCCGCGUGCGGGAUGAAGGCCUUCGGGUUGUAAACCGCUUUCAGCAGGGAAUAAGCGCAAGUGAAGGUACCUGCAGAAGAAGCACCGGCUAACUAUGUGCCAGCAGCCGCGGUAAUACAUAGGGUGCGAGCGUUGUCCGGAAUUAUUGGGCGUAAAGAGCUCGUAGGUGGUUUGUUACGUCGGUUGUGAAAUUCAGGGGCUCAACCCCUGACUUGCAGCCGAUACGGGCAAGCUAGAGUUUGGUAGGGGAGACUGGAAUUCCUGGUGUAGCGGUGGAAUGCGCAGAUAUCAGGAGGAACACCGAUGGCGAAGGCAGGUCUCUGGGCCAAUACUGACACUGAGGAGCGAAAGCGUGGGGAGCGAACAGGAUUAGAUACCCUGGUAGUCCACGCCGUAAACGGUGGGCGCUAGUUGUGCGAACCUUCCACGGUUUGUGCGACGCAGCUAACGCAUUAAGCGCCCCGCCUGGGGAGUACGAUCGCAAGAUUAAAACUCAAAGGAAUUGACGGGGCCCCGCACAAGCAGC